This 326-nucleotide ribosomal RNA is filed under the name uncultured Actinomycetes bacterium. Its description in RNAcentral is "bacterial SSU rRNA". It matches the Rfam family "Bacterial small subunit ribosomal RNA", at positions 28 to 351 of the family's 1533-position model. Lineage: Bacteria; Bacillati; Actinomycetota; Actinomycetes. The record is from RNAcentral.
GACGAACGCUGGCGGCGCGCUUAACACAUGCAAGUCGAACGAGAACUCCGGAGCUUGCUCCGGGGGGAGAGUGGCGAACGGGUGAGGAACACGUGAGAAACCUGCCCCGAAGACCGGGAUAACACCGGGAAACCGGUGCUAAUACCGGAUGCCCUCACGGGAUCGCAUGGUCCCAUGAGGAAAUGGAUUCCGCUUCGGGAUGGUCUCGCGGCCUAUCAGCUUGUUGGUGGGGUAACGGCCCACCAAGGCUUCGACGGGUAGCUGGUCUGAGAGGAUGUCCAGCCACACUGGGACUGAGACACGGCCCAGACUCCUACGGGUGGCAG